Ornithodoros turicata is the source of this 396-nucleotide long non-coding RNA. RefSeq lists it as uncharacterized. The transcript has 3 exons. NCBI's taxonomy places the organism in Eukaryota, Metazoa, Arthropoda, Arachnida, Ixodida, Argasidae. The record is from RefSeq and is a predicted model, not a curated record.
UGGGUACCUCGUUUCUUGUGUGUGUGAUCGAGUGGUUGCUGUUUACGAUAUGUUCAUAUAUCGCUUUGUAGUGCUGUAAUGUGCAAAUUAGCGGACUUUAUAGCGGCUCUCUAUUUUCCGUCGUUGUCUUUCGAGCAGCGCCUGUUGUUCCGGUAAAAAUCGAGUUGAAUGAAUCGCCACAGCCCCAACGUAUAUCGCGCAGUGUUGACCAAGACCAAGUCAAGCAGGAAUUCUGGCAUGGUAUGUGGCUGCACGAAGGAUUCCGGAAAAGAAAAACAACAACAUGGCUAAUAGGAUGUUGCUGCCCAGGGAGUCCUGGCGAAGAGGUUUACUCAUUCCAGAAGCAAGAAUUGUAUCAUUGUAAGGCGAAUGGAAAUAAACUGACAUCGACUGAGA